GGGGGAAACUAGGAGGGUUACUGUGUCAAAUGGGGGGGCUUUGGGGUCUAGGGGGGCAACUGGGGGGUUGUUGACCCUGGGGGUAGUAACUGAGGCAACUGGGGGGGCUCUGGAGAUGAGGGGGACAGUGGGGGAGGCAACUGGGGGCAACUGGGAUUUAGGAGGGGCAGCUGGGAGGGAAGUUGAGGGGUCUCCAUUCCUGGGGAGGGGAGUAGGGGGGGAGUCCUGGGGGAUGGAGGGGGCAGUUUGGGGGUACCUAUAGGGCUUUGGGGGAGGGCUUGUAUUAUAGGGGUCCCUGGAGUCAGACUGGGGGUCCCCAAAUCUAUAGGGGUCCCUGGGAUAGGGCUGGGUGUCCCCAAAUCUAUAGGGGUCCCUGGCCUCAGGUUGGGGUUCCCCAAGUUUAUAGGGGUCCCUGUGGUCGGGCUGGGUGUCCCCAAAUCUAUAGGGAUCCCCUGAGUCAGGUUGGGGCUCCCCAACCCUGUAGGGGUCCCUGGGAUGGGGCUGGGUGUCCCAAAAUCUAUAGGGGUCCCUGUGGUCAGACUGGGAGUCCCCAAGUCUAUAGGGGUCCCUGGGAUCAGUCUCAGGAUCCCCAGAUCUAUAGGGGUCCCUGGGGUGAGGUUGGGGGUCCCCAAAUCUAUAGGGGUCCCUGGGGUGGGGCUGGGGGUCCCCAAAUCUAUAGGUAUCCCCGGGGUCAGGCUGGGGGUCCCCAACUCUAUAGGGGUCUCUGGGAUGGGGCUGGGGGUCCCCAAAUCUAUAGGGAUCCCCAGGGUCAAACUGGGAGUCCCAGGUCCUCUGGGGAUCCCAGGGCUCAGUCUCGGGCUCUGAGGCUCUAUAGGGGUCCCCGGGCUCAUUCUGGGGGUCCCCGUCCCUAUAGGGGUCUCGCAUCCUAUAGGUGUCCAUAUGGGGGUCGUCAUAAGGGUCCCAAGGCCUGGUUUGGGGGUCCCUGCCCCUCCGGAGGCUCCCGGGCUCGGGGUCCUCAUAGGGGUCUGAGGGGGGGGUAUAGGGGUCCCAGGGUCCCCUUGCGGGGUCCUCAUCUCCAUAGGGGUCCAUAUAGGGGUCCCCAUAGAUGUCGGGGUCCCAGGGCUCUGCCGCAGGGUCCCACAGCCCCACGUCAGAGUCUUCGUCCCUAUAGGGGCGGGGGGGGGCCGUGUAGGGGUCCCCAUAGGCCUCAGGGUCCUCCAGGUCCAUAUAGGGGUCCCCAUAGGUGUCGGGGUCCUCGUCCCCAUAAGGGUGGGUGGGGUCAGGGGGGGAGUCACCGUACGCAGGGGGGGCCGGCGGUGAGCGGGGCGAAUCCUUGUGCAAAUCCUCGUGGGAAUCCCCAUGGGAGUCCUCGUGCAAACGCUGGUGCCAAAGUGGGUGCGAAUCCCGAGCGCUGUCUCUGUGCAAGCCUUCAUGCAAAUCCUCGUGCAAGCCCUGGUGCCUGUCUGGUCUCAAAUCCUGGUGCAAAUCCUCAGACGUGUCCCUGUGCAAACCCUGCUGCCAUGCUGGCUGCCACGCCCGCUGUCUUCCUUGGCGCAACCCCUCGUGCAAAUCUUCCAAAUCCUUGUGCAAAGCCUGGUGCCUCCCCGGCUGCAGAUCCUGCUGUAAAUCCUCGUGCAAAUCCUGGUGCAAGUCCCUGUGCAAACCCUGCUGCAGUGCUGGCUGCAACUCGGGUUGCCUGCCUUGGUGCAAAUGCUCGUGCGAGUCCUCGUGCAAGCCCUGGUGCCUGCCUGGUGGCAGAUCCUGAUGCAAAUCUUGGUGCGAGUCCUCGUGCAAGCCCUGGCGCCUGUCCAGCCUCAACUCCCGCAGCAAACCUUGCUGCCAACCGGGUUGCGGGGCCCUCUGCCCGCCUCGGCGCGUGUCCUGGUGCGAGCCCUCGUGCGAGCCCUCGUGCGAACCCUCCGGCGCCCCUCCUCGCCCCGCCGCCCGCCGCAGCCCGGGGGGCCGCCAACCCCCCAGCGGCCUCUUCCUCCGCCGUGGCCCCCGCUGCCAGCCCCGGUGCGAGCCCUGGUGCGAGGCCUCGUGCAAGGCCUGGUGCGAGCGGCGGCGGGGGCGGCAGGCGGCCCCGUCGGGCUGCAGGACGUAGCCGGGGUGGCAGUGACAGGCGAAGCCCCCGUGGUGGUUGAGGCACAUGUGGUGGCAGAUGCGGGUGCGACACUCGUCCCUGUCCCCGCAGCCACCGGCCGCCACCGGCCCGAAGCCCAGGGGACAGGGGGGCUCCGCGGCCACCGCCCC
RNAcentral lists this long non-coding RNA (2214 nucleotides) under Calidris pygmaea (Spoon-billed sandpiper). Its description in RNAcentral is "lncRNA (ENSCPGG00000011870.1)". The record is from RNAcentral. Lineage: Eukaryota; Metazoa; Chordata; Aves; Charadriiformes; Scolopacidae.